Hippocampus comes (tiger tail seahorse) is the source of this 82-nucleotide non-coding RNA. Lineage: Eukaryota; Metazoa; Chordata; Actinopteri; Syngnathiformes; Syngnathidae. The record is from the annotation of a RefSeq genome assembly.
GUUGUCGUGGCCGAGUGGUUAAGGCGAUUGACUAAAAAUCCAUUGGGGUCUUCCAGUGUAGGUUCAAAUCCUGUCAAGAACA